GACAGAGGUGCCGAGCGUUAGGCGGAAUCACUGGGCUUAAAGCGUGUGUAGGCGGACUUCUAAGUACCUUGUGAAAUCCCACGGCUUAACCGUGGAACUGCUUGGUAUACUGGUUGUCUUGGGCCAUCUAGGGGCUACUGGAACAAACGGUGGAGCGGUGAAAUGCGUAGAUAUCGGGAGGAACACCUGUGGCGAAAGCGGCGCACUGGACCAUAACUGACGCUGAGGCGCGAAAGCUAGGGGAGCAAACAGG
RNAcentral lists this ribosomal RNA (253 nucleotides) under uncultured bacterium. RNAcentral's name for it is "partial 16S ribosomal RNA". It matches the Rfam family "Bacterial small subunit ribosomal RNA", at positions 524 to 776 of the family's 1533-position model. The record is from RNAcentral.